CGCUUCGUAGCUCAGCUGGUAGAGCUUUUGUCUUGUUGAGGCAUGAUGUCUCUGUCGCUGGUUCGAAUCCAGUCGAAGCCC
Molecule: transfer RNA, 81 nt
Filed under: Paragonimus heterotremus
Lineage: Eukaryota; Metazoa; Platyhelminthes; Trematoda; Plagiorchiida; Troglotrematidae
Rfam family: tRNA
About the family: Transfer RNA (tRNA) molecules are approximately 80 nucleotides in length. Their secondary structure includes four short double-helical elements and three loops (D, anti-codon, and T loops). Further hydrogen bonds mediate the characteristic L-shaped molecular structure. tRNAs have two regions of fundamental functional importance: the anti-codon, which is responsible for specific mRNA codon recognition, and the 3' end, to which the tRNAs corresponding amino acid is attached (by aminoacyl-tRNA synthetases). tRNAs cope with the degeneracy of the genetic code in two manners: having more than one tRNA (with a specific anti-codon) for a particular amino acid; and 'wobble' base-pairing, i.e. permitting non-standard base-pairing at the 3rd anti-codon position.
Source: Rfam by way of RNAcentral